AUUGAACGCUGGCGGCAUGCCUUACACAUGCAAGUCGAACGGUAACAGGUCUUCGGAUGCUGACGAGUGGCGAACGGGUGAGUAAUACAUCGGAACGUGCCUAGUAGUGGGGGAUAACUACUCGAAAGAGUGGCUAAUACCGCAUGAGAUCUACGGAUGAAAGCAGGGGAUCGCAAGACCUUGUGCUACUAGAGCGGCCGAUGGCAGAUGAGGUAGUUGGUGGGAUAAAAGCUUACCAAGCCGACGAUCUGUAGCUGGUCUGAGAGGACGAUCAGCCACACUGGGACUGAGACACGGCCCAGACUCCUACGGGAGGCAGCAGUGGGGAAUUUUGGACAAUGGGCGCAAGCCUGAUCCAGCAAUGCCGCGUGCAGGAUGAAGGCCUUCGGGUUGUAAACUGCUUUUGUACGGAACGAAAAGCCCCGGGUUAAUACCUUGGGGUCAUGACGGUACCGUAAGAAUAAGCACCGGCUAACUACGUGCCAGCCGCCGCAGUAA
Molecule: ribosomal RNA, 498 nt
Filed under: uncultured bacterium
Lineage: Bacteria
Description: partial 16S ribosomal RNA
Rfam family: Bacterial small subunit ribosomal RNA
Source: RNAcentral